RNAcentral lists this long non-coding RNA (561 nucleotides) under Homo sapiens (human). RNAcentral's name for it is "non-protein coding lnc-GGCT-1:66". Lineage: Eukaryota; Metazoa; Chordata; Mammalia; Primates; Hominidae. The record is from RNAcentral.
GACACAAAACCCGGAAGGACCCCGCCGAAGGUUUUCUCCGGUUCGGGAGAGAGACGGAGUCCCGCUCUGUCACGCAGGCUGCCAGGCUGGCGUACAGUGGCGCAAUCUCAGCUCGCUGCAACCUCCACCUCCUGGGUUCAAGCGAUUUUCUUGCCUCUGCCUCCUGAGUAGCUGGGAUUACUGGCACACACCACCAUGCACAGGGAGAUAUGAGACAUCAAUCAAUAUAUGUAAGAUGUACAUCAGUUUCGUCUGGAAAGAUGGGACAACAUGAAGCAGGGAGGGGGCUCCCUGGUGACAGGGAAUUUUCUUGUGGGCAAAUUGUGAGGGAGUUCCUUGUUCAAAAUGCCAAGAACCUGGAUGACUCAUAGUCAAGACCCUCCACCAGUAACAUAUAUUGGCGAGCCAGCCAGGAGCUUGGAACCCUCGGUGGACAGUGCCUAAGCACAGAGGCAACCACAGGUUUCUAACAGGGCCACUCUCUGGUGAAACUGAAAGGUUUCUGUGUGAAAGUGCCUGACCACCACUGCCCAAUUCAGACCACUACAGGAAACACUCCAU